GAUGAACGCUGGCGGCGUGCCUAAUACAUGCAAGUCGAGCGAACGGACGAGAAGCUUGCUUCUCUGAUGUUAGCGGCGGACGGGUGAGUAACACGUGGAUAACCUACCUAUAAGACUGGGAUAACUUCGGGAAACCGGAGCUAAUACCGGAUAAUAUUUUGAACCGCAUGGUUCAAAAGUGAAAGACGGUCUUGCUGUCACUUAUAGAUGGAUCCGGGCUGCAUUAGCUAGUUGGUAAGGUAACGGCUUACCAAGGCAACGAUGCAUAGCCGACCUGAGAGGGUGAUCGGCCACACUGGAACUGAGACACGGUCCAGACUCCUACGGGAGGCAGCAGUAGGGAAUCUUGCGCAAUGGGCGAAAGCCUGACGGAGCAACGCCGCGUGAGUGAUGAAGGUCUUCGGAUCGUAAAACUCUGUUAUUAGGGAAGAACAUAUGUGUAAGUAACUGUGCACAUCUUGACGGUACCUAAUCAGAAAGCCACGGCUAACUACGUG
RNAcentral lists this ribosomal RNA (497 nucleotides) under uncultured bacterium. RNAcentral's name for it is "partial 16S ribosomal RNA". It matches the Rfam family "Bacterial small subunit ribosomal RNA", at positions 28 to 507 of the family's 1533-position model. The record is from RNAcentral.